UCGUCUCAGUUUCUACAUUCUGUUGGAAAUCCUACUUUUCCUCCAAGGUUUCUGUGAUGCCUGACGUCACCCUGCAGAUGGGCUUUGCCCCAGCCUCCCUCCCGGGGCUCCCGUCCUGGACUCACCACCGACCGCAUCUAUUGCUUUGGGCAAAUUGUCUCCGCUUGCUACACGAGUAUGAACCUGUUCUACGAUCGGGGCUAUUUUAAAUGGCUGUUGCAAGGAAAGCACUUUACGUAGUGCCCUGAAAGGCAACGGUUAACGGAGGAAAAGCACUUUACAGAACGCCCCAGUGUACGGUCAAUUCUCAGUAAAUGGCUUUGUUUUUGCCUUGUUAAGGCGAGAUCCUGCCUCCCACACGCAGAGACGUGGCCUCAUCUUUGCCAGCGUCAGUGGAACCCUCUCUCGGCAAGGCUCUGACUCUGGACCGUGUGCCCGAGACCGCGCCUCCAGUACUAACGAGAGGGUAGGACAGUGGCGAACGACGUCCACCGAGCAGGGACCGAGCACCGCGCUGGGUGGUUUUGCAAGUAACAGCUCACUCACUUCCUACAGCAGCGGCGCCAGCCCAGGAGGAGGUACUGUUCUCCCAUCUUGUGGAUGAGGACACUGAGGCAACCUCUUCCUGGACAUUUGUCCAACUUACGGAGCUGCAAGGCGCGGGCCGUGAGUCCAAGCCUGUGAGUCUUCAGCGAUGCUAACCGCUACCCCCUCUGACGGUUACCCUGCCUGCAAACGUACAAGUAGAUGACCUUUCUCUCCUCGGCUCAAAGAAAGAACAACUCUCCAGGGCUGGCACCAGGAGGGACGCAGGCGAUCAGCGAGCCGGACUGCUCGCGAGCCUGGGAGGGGGGUGAAGCCCGGGAACCAGCCACUUGCACACGUCCGUCCCUACAGCUAAGUGAGUAUUAGCUUCGCAGCUGCAACCGGGGUCUGCCUAGUGUCAAUCCUGCACCCUCUGCCUCCGUCUCUCGCACCCCACAACGCCACGACCCAUCGUCUCCCGUGCAUUAUUAAUUUCCUAUGUGGUUACGUUGUUUCUUAAUACCCAUGUCUCCCCAGUCAACCGUAGCCUUUCCAUAUGGAGUUUCAGAUCCUAUAAAUUAAAUGAGAACAGCAUGUUACACGGGAAUGAAGGAAUGGUUGUUGGAUUUUUUUUUUUUUUUUUUUUUUUGAGAUUACAGUGACUUCGACCCGUAGGUAUUUAUGGAAAAACACUAGGAUAUUUACAAAUGUGUUAAUGCUGGAACUGUAUUUUAAUUGGUUUCAUGAAAGAAAAGGACUUGGAAGCCCUGGGAUUAAUAUAAUUCCUUUGCUAGAAACGAUGAAUUCUUGGCUGGCGUCUUCUGCAGGGGACCGGGUCUGUGAGCCCCUGUGAGGCUGGAGCCCUGGCAGAGAGAAGCCCGGGGCGGCAGAACCCUGGUGUGGCAGGGGGAGCAUCUGAGAGAGACGCCAGGGCUCUGCGCUUGGGGACGAGACAGUUAAAGCCUCCCCGUGCGAGCCAGCUCUAUCACACGGCGCUGGCGACAGGUCAACAGUCUGGCUGGAGCGCGGACGGGGCUGAUGAUGCCAGGCGGUGCCAGGGACCCCGGGGAGCCCUAAAGAGGCUCCCCACACCGGCUUUCCUUCUGCAGCCCGGGGGAUGUUCCGGCAACUGCCUCAUGCAAGGGAACUGGGGCUGUGUCGCUGCUUUCCGGGCGAGCCACGCUGGAGCACUGACGUCCCCGGGCCGAGAGCCCACUGUGGCUGUGACAAAGGGACCCCGGCUGAGAGCCUGCGCAGGUUGACUGUCAAUGGGGUUUCUACGAGUUGCUUACACGGUGUGAGCAGAGCCGCUAGCAAUGAGAAGGCACAGAGGAGCCAGCACGCGCUCAGGAAAGCAGCCGGGCCCUUGAGCGGCCAGGCCUCGGAUGUCAUUCAGGGAGCAACGUUCUACGUGCUCUGUGCUUCUUUGUUGGUCUGUUUGUUUGUUUUUUUCUGGCACCUUCUGUGGCGGAGUAAUGCAGGGGCAUUUGCAGAAACGGAAACCCUCACAUCUUUCCCGACGAGUUCACUGUCUUUACCGAACAAUCAACUUUAAAGCCAUCCGGUUUGUAGAUUCAUCAACAGUGAUCAGCAGUUACACAGAUCCUCUAAGCAAUCAUGAAUAUGGUUUUUAAUUUAUUAAGUUCCUUCUAUAGGACAACCACUGAGCUAAAUACUUUGACUUACUUACCGUAUUAAAACCCUCAAAAUAAUUCUACGUAUUAGGCAUGCUUAUGAUCCCCAUGUUUGUUAACAAACUCAAAGAAAGGUCUGGUGACUCGCAGGUCAGUCAUGGAGCUGACUGUAAACCAUGCCUGCACGUCUCCAGCCCUGGACCUUGGCUGCUGCACGAUGUUGGGGAUUUCAGGCCUGGAAGGGCCCUCAGAUGCCAACCUCUCUGGCUUCUUCCUUGGAUGGAUGGGGGCAGCCUGACGCACGUGGCUCACUGAAGACAAACUAGAAGCCAGAUUGCCUGUGGCUCGGUCCAGUGCCGUCCUAACCACAACAUGUCGCCGAAGGGAAACGACGCAGAGGACGUUCCGCCUGUUCUCUGUCCGUUCUUAAUACGGGAUGGUUUCCCGGCGCAGUCUGCCAUGUUGGCGUGUCUGCGUGUAGGCCAUUGAUUGGAAAUGACAUUCCAUUGAAAACGCCUCUGAGGACCAUACAUGGAUCUCCAGCAGGGAAGGGUUAAAGUUGCAGGGAUUUUGCAGGCUGGAUCAAAUGUUCUUGAGAGGCCAUUCUUCACAUCUUGUUUCUUUAGCACCGGGAGAAGGCGAGUAAUCAAAGGUGACAAGCUUUCUCUGCUCGUCGGGUCCCAUUCCCGGUGCAGGGCAGCCCACAGGCACAUUGAUCUGCAGCGGCAGCUGCUACUGGCCUCCGAUACAGAGAUUCCAGGCCACACGGGGCCUCGUCGUGUUAUUGGAAGGAAGGGAGGAAGGAGUGAAGGCACCACUAUCAGCGAAUUGAGACAAAACCUAUUGUCUGCAACCAUGGGAUUCGGUCGCCUUGAGUACACGUGCAGUGUGAUUUAGCUGCCAUCUCUGCUCAGGGCUCGGAGGUGGAAAGCAAGCGCACUGGACGGUUGCUGGCCUACUGGGAUGUAUUGGGCUGCAGUCUGAAGGGGCUAGGAGGGGCCGGAGGCGCUCCUCUCGGAACAGACACCGAGAGCAGUAUGAGAGCUGCGUUACAAAGGUCUCUGUCUGGAAGCGGAGGAAGACACCUAACGAAUGCCCUUCUCUGCCAUUUUCUCAUGGAUUCUUUUUUUUUUUUUUAAAUAUAAUUUAUUGUCAAGUUAGCUAACUCACAGUGUAUACAGUGUGCUCUGGGUUUGGGGGAGUAGAUUCCGUGAUUCAUCACUUACAUACAACACCCGGGGCUCAGCCCAACGAAGCUACGUUCUGGAAUAGAAGGGGACGGUGGGAAAGGGGGAGAAAAAGAAUCCAUCGACACGUAUGCAUCUGCUGUCUGCGAGGCCCUUCACGAUAACGAUAACCUUAUUAUCGUUAACUACUUUCUAACCACCUUGCAUGAGAGAAGAUGUUUAUCGCCAUUUAAAUAAGGAAGAAAUGAAUUUGGGAGAGGCGGACCAACUUGCCCAAAUCCUACGCCGCAUCUGCAGAAAGAACUGGAAGGAAGGUGUGAUGAGGUUGAGGAUAAGGACAGUCAAGGCCCUUCGUUUCCUUAUGGGAUAUGUCAUAUUCCUUGAGACGUCCUGCAGAGUGGCGUUGAAAUGUUCUGCCACCUCCUCGUCAUCUACGUGGGGCCAAGGGGGACUGAAGAGUCAAGUCGGGAGACCUCGUUUCUCACCUGCACACCUGGAGCCUGGAGCAGACAAUUAGGGGAGCCCUGGAACAGGGGAUCGUGGGUGUGAAUCUGCCAAUCUCUUCGAUGACUUCGGAUAAGUUGACCCUCAACUUUCUUCACCUGGGUAGCGGGGGGGAUGCAUGCUUCUUUCUGAGAGUUACCGUGAGGGAGGUUAAAUAAGACGCCAGCAGAGUGCCUGUUGUCCGCUCAGUGUUACUCGGCUCUUUUCUUCCCCAGCUAUGCUUAGUUAUUUUUCUUUAAUUCAUGCCAUAGGGCACCUCUUUGAGAUCCAAGACACUACCCUCCUUUCAUACUACCGGGACCCCAGAAACAUGCCUCCGAAGGCAAUGUAAACAUAGUACUUAUGCCACAGAUAUUUAUUAUUAGUAUUGUUUUUAAGUGGCUUUGUGGCAUUUGAAAUACCGUCUACUGUGAUGGGAACCCUAUUAAACCUUAAUUCCUUUCUUAGAAGCCUCCAAAUCUAGCCACACUGGGGAUUCCAGGUGGAGGCGUGGGCAGGAGGAUUCAGCUGGUGACAAAGGGUGAUAAUCAGCCUCUGAAAACAGACUCUCGCAUGCCCUCAGUUUGAGUGGGGGCCCCGGCAAUCCUUUCUCUAUUUCUUGGGUUGAUGGACAAAAGGCGUAUCCCCAGGAUUUUAAUCUUCAUUCACCACUCCUUCCAAGCCUCCACCUUUUUGUUUGCGUGUUUGCUAAGGUAAGACCCCACACUGUGCUUUUCAGCGGCAGCAGUCUAUGAUUCUUCAUAUGCAGGGAUCCCUCCAAUGCUAAGGAGGAGAUUAAAAUAUCUCGGACCAGCAGUGUGCCUGGCAGGGGCUGCCUGUGUGUCCCAACCCCCAGUCAGCAGGAGCAGCACGUGUUGGUGACUUCUUCAGAGCUAAUGUUAAAAAGUGAACUCACAGGCCCUGAAAAGAGAUACGUGUAUAAGCAAUUGAAAAGAAAAGAGUUGAUUUGUGGCAAAACAGGGCACGUUUUUACGCCAAAGCCAAAUGUUCAUUUUACUCAGCACCCCCGUGUUCCUCUGUAUCUGUACCUAAACACACACACACGCACGUGCACACACACACACACACACACACGUGUGUCCUGUGUGUGUGGGAAUAUGCACACAAUCUUCGUAUUUGAUACACAUAAAACAUAGACACAACCCAAUCCAAACCAGCUGUUGGGAUUCAAGUCCAAGAGUAGAACAUGAGACCCUCCAGACAUGUGAACAUAAGUGCAGAGCAGAAAUUCAACAAGAUGACACCCCCCCUUCCCCCACCCCCACUGUGUGUAAUCCUUUCUCUCUCAUAUUUUUAUAUAUUUUACACCCGUGGAUCUUGAUGAACUUAAGCCCGGGCAUUGUACAGGUUCCAGAUUUCAAAUGAAUAACUCUUUCAUUUAGUUAAUAGCUGCAGCAGAGCCAUAAAACCAUAAUAGUUUAUGACUUUCAGGAUAUAACCUGCAACCACAGACAAUAUAAAUUAUAUUACAUUGCACUUUAUAGCCGUAUGAAGCACACACAAGACCUCACCGCUGGUGUGAAGGCUGGGGAGUGGGGGUGGGGUGUAAUGAAUUGUUUGUUUGUUUGUUUGUUUGUUUGUUUUCCUUCUUGGCUAAAAAAACACCUUCAUCCUAUGACCCAGCAAGCCGUCAUUCUGACCGGAGGCCUCCACAGCCGCGGUGCUGAAUGCCAUUGCGACCACAAAAGAAAGCUGUUGAUAAAGGAUCGAGGUGAAUAUUUUCAUAUCACUCUUAACUUACGUUGUUGCUUCCAGCACACAUGGAGAAGCCACCUCCAUUUCUGCCGUAGGCAGCCAUCAUUAUUUUCGAGAUGUAUGUCAUCGGCAACGCAAGGUACUGGACGGCGGACAGAACGGCCCUGUGGCCAGACUCGCCGGUAUUUUUGUGUCGUUCUACUACGUAUUCAGAAGAGGCGGGAUGAUGUUAUCCUCCCUCAAUAGCUCGUGUGGCUUCUAAAUCCGGCCUCGCGUCUGGGCUUAAGGUUCGGCCUCUGAACCGAGAGCAGAGUAGGAACCCUGAUUGUGUAAAUGGACCGUCUAAAUAAAAAAUGAAGAUAAUCGAGCUUCAGAAAUUGUUAAGGGCCAGAGGGAGAGAGGAAGGCAGCCCAGCUUUUGAAAUGAUGACAAGGCACUCACUUCUUCCUUGCACCUGCUGCCUGCGAAGUGCUGUGUUACUGAAGAGGCCCGCGGUCCGAUCUGCAUAUCAAAUAGCUGAUUUGUGGAUGAGGUCAUUCCUUUUGUGGUCUGUCUGUUGCAGGCACUGGGGAUGGGCUGUUGCCUAGCAGUGGGCCACAGGGUCCCGCAGGCUCCUGGGGUCACUCGGCAGCCCCUCACCCAUUCUAAAUUCAGAUCCAGGAUUGUUUUCAUGAAUAAAUCUCGGAAAUAGCCAAUGCAUGGCUAAGUUCAAAGCGUGGGUGAUAUAUGACCAGCGAGGCUUUUCUCUAAUGACUUUAGUACAUCAGAUUAGGUAUUGUAGGAGCGAAAGGGUCGUCCAGUUGCCUUUCUGUGUCCUUCUCACUAUCACACGAUGGGGCGACGCCUUAGCGCAUAAAUAUGGUACCCACUUUCCGCCUGCCCAGGUAGAGCUUAUUGUGUGAUGCCAUGGUGAAAAGAUAAAUUAAAACAUGGUUCUCUGUGGACUAUGAAAAUAUGGCAAAAUCGGAUUUGGAUAACCGAGUGCAACUUUUAAGAAAGCUUUGUUACUCUUAGUUUGCUGUUAAUCUGUUGGCUCUUGCUAUGUGUGUGUGUGCACGUAGACAUGCGCGUGUGCAUAUUCAUGCACACACACACACGUAUAUUUCAAGCUGCGGCUUUUUCCACUAGACACCUGCAAGAGAAUAAAACGGUGAAUAAAAAUCAGCGAAGGCCUUGAUAAUUGAGUCUUUGUGCGCUUCUCAAUACAGAACACUCUCUUUUACCUGGCCUGAUUCUUCCAACUGUAUUUUUCCAUGGCUGCAUGGGCUUUGACAAGUAGAGAAAUUUCCAGAGCAGCAUUCUCUUUUGAAAAUUAGGAAUCCGAAAGUGAGACCAAAAUUUAGUCCAAAUGCAUUUAGGAUGAAGCCCCUAGGUUAGAGGUAUGAGUCUAGUAGUAGAUGCUUUCUUGGGAUAAACAUCUUCUUUUGUUAUAUUUCCCGGAUUCAUCGGAGCCUUUCAGUUUCCGACGGCUGAUUCUAGCCACAGCAGUAGCUUUUCAGAUUAGGGACAUCCUAUCGUGGUAAGGAAAAUCGGUCAACAUAGCCGUGAAUAGCUAUAACGAGGCAAGGACAACGGUAAGAGGGAGAAAGACUGGUACUCACGAAUUGGCAAGAGAAGUACCACCUGCCAAAGGUGUCACCUCACGAAUGACCUUAGGUACCUUCCCUGGACAAGGAAAAUCAAACUAUGUACGAGACACGAACAUUUGUACACUUAGAAAAUUGAUUUCAAUUAAGCGUGGUCAGUAAGGGAUGUUUUUCCGGUUGCGGGUGGGCAACGUAGGGGUAAUAAAAAAUAUGCCUGUAAAUGCUGCUUUUCAUGCUUUUGAAGAUUAACGAUUCUGAAUGAUACUGAGGUAUAUUUUUUUAAUGUCUCGCAAAACAGACAUGAAAGUAUAGAAACAGAAAUAGAAAUAGAAAUAGAAAUUAUAGACAUGCCUCGUAUCUGCUUAAGAGUUUAAACGCCAUCGUUCCCUUGCAAAUAUUUCACUUCAUUUGAACCUCCCUUUCUUCAGAGGCAGAAACUGGGGCUCUCGAGGGGAUGACUUAUUCAGGGUCCCUGACUUAUUCAGGGUCCUUUUGCAAACACAGAGCCAAGGAAGGAUUUGGUCUCUGCCGUGCCAUUACGUUUCCCCAACAGCUAACCCUGGAUGGACAUCUAUCGAAAAUUAUGGCUGAGCACAUUAAGAAAUACUGUUUUAAAAUCAUUAUAUAUACACAUAUGGCAUCUAUAUCAGAUGUCUAUCAAAUAGUGCAUGUGUAAAGAAUCAGAAAGCAAUUCACAUUGUUUUCAAAGCGGCAUUUUGUUUUUUAAAUACACAUAUGCACAUAAAUGAAAUAUGGUAGCCCUUAAACCUCGUUCAGGAAAUACAGUCUGGUCUUCUAUGUCGUGGAAGUCAGGAGACAUCAGUUUCGUCGAGAAGUCUGUGUACUAAAGAGCUAUCAAAUCCUGACCAGCAUUAAUUAAUGAUGCGUUCUUGUAUCUGCAACAUCAAAUAAUAGAAACUUAGUAAGGCGAGGUACCCCGAAAGCCCGGAAGGAAUCAAAUUUGCAUCUAGAUAUAGCCUGAUCUUUGACCCUCUUUACACACCGAAAACCCUUUGAAAUUGAGGCUCUUGGCCACAGAUUAAUGAGCCAUAGGCGGGCCUGAGGGCCUGGUGAUGAUGCUCGGAGAAUUUAUGCAAUUCAUACAGCAGUGAAGAGGUUAACUUCAACCAUCUCCUAGGGAACCAGCAGUGACAGCCCGACACACAGUCCUGGGAGAUUACUGGUCUGCUGUUUAACAAAGUAAAUUUUGAUUGCUGUUGAUUUUUUUUUUGAGUCAAUUUUUUUUUUCUUUCACUGUAUUCAAGCCAGUGCCAAGUAGCAUGUUACAAAUGCAGGGAUAUUCUCCAUGCUAGAGAGAACUCGAGAUUUAAAAACAUCAACAAUGGCAGUAUUUGUAAAAAUGCUCCAAGCCUGUGUUUACUUACAACAGCUAAGAUUUGAAUAUUUGUGAUGUAGAAUCACCACAGGGAAAAAUAGCCAAGGUGCGUCCGUCCGCCUCGUGAAGCGAUUUCUAAACCUGCAUCCACGUUCCCCACUCAUGAGGAAGGGUCCAUUUCUGCAAAUCACACAUAACUUGAUUUUAAGGCGUUGGGUAUUCCAUGCUGUGUUUGAUAUAUUGGCUAGGGCUUUUUUUUUAAGCCAUCGUCUUGAUUUUUAGAGUCGGCCAAAGCAGACAUGUAGGUAAGUCCCAUUCACAGAUACACACACACAAAAGAUUUGUUCAAAGUUCCUCAAGCGUCUCCCCCUCGUCCAAAUCUUUCCUGGGUACCGUGGUGUCGACAAGAGGUAACACAACGACACGUGCAUUUGAGCUUAAUGAGUGAUUCAUCUGCAGGCAGCGAGGGUCAAGAUAAAUCCACGGCAAAACAGUUCAGGUUGGAGAAGGAAUAUAAGGAACAUUUUUCUUUAUCGUGCUGCCUGAUAAAGAACCGAUCUCUCCUUGCAUAAACCCACAGCCGCCAACGUGACAACGAUGUGCACCCUUGUGCUCUAAGAUUGACUUUCUCCAGAAUGCGUUUUGUUCUCCCACCUGACACCCAUCGGUCAGCCUCCUUGGCGUGGGUUUUGUUUGUUCCUCGGCUAUCUGAUCAUUGUCCCCCAAAUACUGGAGAAUGACUGAAGUCCCCCCCAAAAAAUUAAAAACAAAAUAAGACAAUGAUUUGGAUGAUAAAUUGCAGGGCGCCUGUGGGUGUGGCCCUGGGCCUCGGCAAAGAUGGCACCACGAGUGAGAGCUAUUUCACAACAGCAGUUGUGACCCCAGAAGUGACCGAGGGGUGGGCCCUGAGGAGCUUUCCGACCAAAAGGCCAGUGCUUGGGGUCCGCUCCAGGAACCCAGGAGGCUGUUAUCCUACAAAAGAGCUUUGUGAAGCCAAAUCUUUAAUUCCAAGAGCAAUGCCUAAUUUAUACCCCGCAGCAGGCUGGGUAUUCUGCCUCUGCUAUUUUUACACCAUUUCUGGGGUAUCCCUUUGUUGUCGUAGAUACCAAUGGAGAAUCAAAGGCUGGCUUUUCCCCACCCCCUGGUCAUCACCCAGCAUUCUGUCAUCCUCACUCUGCUUGAGAUUAGAAAAAUCAACAACACGAUCCCCAGAUCUAAUGAAGAGACAACGCUGAGGAAUGUAUGUGAUUUUUUUUUUUUUUUUUUUUUUUUUUUUGCACCGAGCAGAUAUUCUAGUAGUAAAUUCUGUGACGUUCCCUACAUCAAUGGUGCAUAACCAUGUGCUUUUCUUAAUAGGAUUUAUGCUUGUCGGCUCUCUAUAUGCCCUGCCAUGCUAGAUAAAGGGAAGGCUGAGUCCCCGCAGUAACCAUAGCCACUGCAGUGCUGGCAAAUUCCUCCUAAGCAUAAAACAGGCAACGCGAGGGAAGAAGCCGUCCGCUUAUACAUAAACAUGACAGACUCCUAUCUGGAAGCCGAGGGUAUCUAGCCUCCAGAUUGCAUUCAGAUUUCCUGACGGUCGGGCCAGCUCCCCCUCUUAAAUCCUCCCUUUGCAACAUCUGCCGCUGGACCACAAGGAAACCUUCCCUCUUUCCAGACUCAAACCCACUUCCAGCCAAAUGUCACCCGGACUCCACGGAGGACGGAGGGAGGAGAAUUGUCGACGCGUCUGCUCUGACUGCAAAGGUUAUUUCACUGUCUUCGAGAUGACUCUUGAGCAGCCGGCAGCGCUUAGGACGGCCGGGCACCCUGAAUGCGCGGGUUGCUAGGAGAUAACUCCAGCUUUCAGCCGGCAUUGGCCGGAGUUAUCUCUAAUUGACAGCUCCUUACCCUAAGGGUCUAAUUCUAACCUUGAGACCGAGACGAUAAUGAGAGGGCAGCUUUGCCAUCACCCUGCUUCUGGCGAAGGCGAGGAGAUUACUGGCCGCCUGUUUUUCUGGGGUUUUGUUAUGCUUCUUAGGACGGAGGCAAUGAGAGACACACUGGGGCUGCUGUCUGCAGCCCGGCUUUGUGUCACUUGGGGGCUUGUUUGAUUCAUGCCACCUGAAUAAACUUGCGCUUUCUGUUCAGAUGGUCUCCCUUUGAAAGGAGAAGGGCACGCAGGGAGGAGAAGCCUUUGCUGCACUUUGAAACGAUUUGGAAUUUGAGCAGGGAAGGUGGGUUUCUUUAAAAGGGCGGGGAGGGGGGAGGAGAGGAGGGAAAGAAAAGGGAAGAAAACACUAGAUCCCCGUGUUCAAGCGCUCGCUCCUCCCCCCAGGGUCGUGAAUGGCUCUCCCUGCAGUCUCUGCUGCUUGUAAGAACUUAUUUAGGACUGGGGGUGGAGGGGGGGCGCGGUAAAGCCAGCAGCAACAGACAGGAAGAGACGGGCAGGCCCGCAAAAGGGGGUGUUACCAUGCGGCCCAUCCCGCAAGGCUGCUGACUUAUUUUGCGAAAGCAAACAGGGUAGAUCCGCGCCAUCAAUUCAUGUCCAGCCUGAAGCUAAGCCGGCCCGCGGGCUGAGGGGUCCUCUGCCAUCUAUUCAGCGACACAGUGGGGCGGGGGGUGCGGGGGGGGGGGAGGAUUCCAGGGAGCCGGCUGGCAGGUCAGCAAGGAGAGGCCCUCUGAUUCCAGGAGACACAAUUGCAGUCCAGUCGCUCGCUGUUCCUCCCACAGGGCCUCCCCCCUCCUCUGCACACCCGCAGCCAGUGGAAACACUCAGGCCGGUUCUGCAUUUCUGAACCCGAAGGUUGCCAUUUCACAGAUAGCACACCUCGAGUGCCGCGUUUCCCGCCAGCACCGGCGUGGUUUUCGCUGAUGGUGAGCGGGUCUCUGGAAUAUUUCAAACGGAGAAAGGCCUCCAGAGUCCAGACCCGAGAGGCUCGGAGACCCUGCUUUUGUCCUCUGCGAUUCUGCAUCACCCGGACACCAAAAGGCAUGAGUUUUCAAGCCAACAGAGGGAGAGAGGGGCGAAGGCCAAAGACCAAACCCGAAGAAUAUCCUUCGGCAAAAUAUUGUGCUAUUUUCCCUCUAUUUUCUAAAUAUUUUUCUUGAGAUUCCUGCAAAGCAGGGCUGUUUCUGAAGGGGGAGGGGUAUUAUUUUCCAAUGCAACCUUUGAGGGAGGAAAACAAAAAAACUACGAGAGCCACAACUCCCUGGAGUUUUAGUAACAUUUUAUUUAAUUUAUAAAUACAGUUUUUUUUUUUUUUAAAGCGCGUAUCUAGGAAAACAAGGAAAAAUGUUAAUGACCAACACAGUCAGUAAGUGAGGACUUUCUUCUCGAAUGAUUUUUUUUUUUUUGUAAAUUGCGGAUUUUACUUAAAUAUCAGUUCAAUUUACAGAAAGGCUGUAAGAGCACUGCAAACAUUGCACAACCUUUAUAGACCCAACAAUUAUUCACCUUUUGCACACUGUUCUUACCUUCUUUCUGUGUGUGUGUGUGUGUGUGUGUGUGUGUAUUUACUGAGUUUUAUUUUUCUUCUUAUUUUUCAUUAUCUUUUAUCCUUCCAGACACAUUUGGUAAGAAGCUGAACAUGACAUGUCUCGUUACCUCUAAAUAUUUCAUUCUGUUUAUCCUAAGAACAAGAAUAUUCUCCUACAUAAUCCCUGUAUAAUUAUCCAAAUCAGGAUAUUUAACAACAAUGCAAAACCACCAGCUAAUUCAAAAUCCAUGAUCAAAGUUAUGUGUUGUCUCAGAAAUGUCCUUCAUUGCUAUGUUUUCCCAGGUCUGGAUCAAUUCCAAACCUCACAUUACAUUUAGGUGUCCACGGGAGGUUUGUAAUCAUCUCACCAAGAAAGGUCUAGAAAGUUCACAGUGCCACAUUGCAGGACAUUUUCAAUCUUCAGUUGUUUUGAAUAUAAAACACUUGGGGGAAAGGAGACACCUCCAGAUGGGUCAGGGUGCUGGUUCUGAGGAGUUCCAUUAUGCAGAAGAUAAAUCCUGACUUCUCUAAAGAGAAACGGGGCCCUUAUUUUCACAUACGACCUCAAGCAAAUACCAACAAUGCCAAUGUAAAACAAAUGUUUUGUUAAAAAAAUCUUGAUCUUACACAAAAUGAGAAGUGCCACUCAUGACAUGAGAGCUGGAGAAAUCAGCAUAUUUCUGAAAGAUUCUUACACAUGGGCUUUUAUUAGUGUAGACACUUCUCCACCCCAGACAGGGGGAAGGAGAUAGGAAGACAGUGAGUGACAGAGACAGCGUGGAAAUUAUAAACGGAAUAAAUAAUCAGCUCAGGAUGCAAAGAAAUAAAUAAUGCAUAGAGAAACAAGGGAAUUUUUAAUUUAAAAAAUGAAGUUUUUGUAUUAUCUUAUUAUCAUGAAUGUUCUCCAUAAGGGGGGAUCGUGUUGCCAUUGCGAAUAUUGUCUUGCGGUUCUGGUCGUGGACCUGUUUGGGGUCCAAGAUGCCUGUGCCCCUCUUGUGCCCCCCUCUCCCAGAGGAGGGGAUGAUCACCCUUCUCCGUGAGGUUCCGGCUGUGUAACCGAGCCAACGUGAGUUCUCUCUGAGGUGAGUUGUAAAAACACACCAGGUGUACGUCAUAGAGAUUUGAUAUUUCCAUACAUCAUGAGAUGAUCCCAGUGAUAAGUCUAGUUACCACCUGUCAUCUUACAAAAUGAUUACUAUAUGAGUGACCAUAUUUCCUCCGUUGUACCUCACAUCCCAUGUCUUCCCUAUUUUGUUGGUGGAAGUCUGUGACCUCUUAAUUCCCUCACCCAUUUUGUAGGGAAAGGGGACUAGUAAAAUUAGACCCCGAUGAUAAGGCAUGAGAAGGAACUAUGUUUCAAAUGCACGUCUACAUGGGAGGGGCUCCUACCUAAAAACCAUGUUAUGAAAAGGGCCCACAGAACAAAUGUGUGUCCUUGGAGAGUCUGGUUGCUUUAAGUUAAGAGCACAUCUGGGGGUUUUCUGCACAGAUUGGAGUCAAUUAUAUCUUAUCUCUAUAUGGAGUCAUUCAACAAGCACACCCUGUUCUCGGUCAUGCCUAUGACCCUUGCCAUGGCUCGUGUGGCAGUGUCUGUAGACCAGCAUUCAGGAAAGGCCACCCAAGCCACCAGCGUGCACGGAGCUUACCCUAGAACUACCUCUCCACUAUCGACAGAGAGGAUCUCAGGCCAACUCACAGAGGAACAAAAGUGCUCAAUGAAUACUUACUCUCAUUUGUAACCUC
Molecule: long non-coding RNA, 13665 nt
Organism: Leopardus geoffroyi (Geoffroy's cat)
Lineage: Eukaryota; Metazoa; Chordata; Mammalia; Carnivora; Felidae
Exons: 4
Source: RefSeq, a predicted model, not a curated record